UGACAAUGCCGAACUUCGAGUGGCCCAGA
RNAcentral lists this non-coding RNA (29 nucleotides) under Rattus norvegicus (Norway rat). Lineage: Eukaryota; Metazoa; Chordata; Mammalia; Rodentia; Muridae. The record is from RNAcentral.